GACGAACGCUGGCGGCGUGCUUAACACAUGCAAGUCGAACGGGAAGGCCCUGCUUGUGUGGGGUGCUCGAGUGGCGAACGGGAGGGUAACACGGGAGUAACCUGCCCUUGACUUUGGGAUAACUUCAGGGAACUAGGGCUAAUACCGGAUAGGAGCUACUGCUUCAUGGUGGGGGAUGGAAUGUUUCGUCGGUUGGGGAUGGACUCGCGUCGGAUCAGCUUGCUGGUGGGGUAGUGGCUUACCAAGGCUUUGACGGGUAGCCGGCCUGAGAGGGUGACCGGCCACAUUGGUUCUGAGUUACGCCCGAGACUCCUUCGGGCGGCAGCCGUGGGGAGUGUUGCUCGAUGGGCGGAGGCAUGAUGCAGCAACCCCGCGUGCGUGAUGAAGGCCUUCGGGUUGUUCGCCGCGUUCUGUUGUGACGAAUCGUGAGUGACGGUAAUGGGUAAGGAAGCACCGGCUAACUACGUG
Molecule: ribosomal RNA, 468 nt
Filed under: uncultured bacterium
Lineage: Bacteria
Description: partial 16S ribosomal RNA
Rfam family: Bacterial small subunit ribosomal RNA
Source: RNAcentral